Molecule: ribosomal RNA, 563 nt
Filed under: uncultured anaerobic bacterium
Lineage: Bacteria
Description: bacterial SSU rRNA
Rfam family: Bacterial small subunit ribosomal RNA
Source: RNAcentral
AAUAUUGGUCAAUGGGCGCAAGCCUGAACCAGCCAACCCCCGCGUGCAGGAAGACGGCCCUAUGCGUUGUAAACUGCUUUUCCAGGGAGAGAAACUUGCGCACGUGUUGCGCAAUUGACGGUACCCUGGGAAUAAGCAUCGGCUAACUCCGUGCCAGCAGCCGCGGUAAUACGGAGGAUGCGAGCGUUAUCCGGAUUCAUUGGGUUUAAAGGGUGCGUAGGCGGACUAUUAAGUCAGUGGUGAAAUCCUGCACCUUAACUGCAAAACUGCCAUUGAUACGGAUAGCCUUGAUUUUGGUUAAGGUAGGCGAAAUGUGUAAUGUAGCGGUGAAAUGCUUAGAUAUUACACAGAACACCAAUUGCGUAGGCAGCUUACUGAGCCGACCCUGACGCUAAGGCACGAAACCGUGGGGAUCGAACAGGAUUAGAUACCCUGGUAGUCCACGCCGUAAACGAUAAUAACUCGCUGUUGGCAAUACACUGUCAGCGGCUAACCAAAAGCAAUAAGUAAUCCACCUGGGGAGUACGGCCGCAAGGUUGAAACUCAAAUGAAUUGACGGAGGG